GAGUUUGAUCCUGGCUCAGGAUGAACGCUGGCGGCGUGCUUAACACAUGCAAGUCGAACGGGAUCCCAGGAGCUUGCUCCUGGGUGAGAGUGGCGAACGGGUGAGUAAUGCGUGACCGACCUGCCCCAUACACCGGAAUAGCUCCUGGAAACGGGUGGUAAUGCCGGAUGCUCCAGUUGACCGCAUGGUCCUCUGGGAAAGCUUUUUGCGGUAUGGGAUGGGGUCGCGUCCUAUCAGCUUGAUGGCGGGGUAACGGCCCACCAUGGCUUCGACGGGUAGCCGGCCUGAGAGGGCGACCGGCCACAUUGGGACUGAGAUACGGCCCAGACUCCUACGGGAGGCAGCAGUGGGGAAUAUUGCACAAUGGGGGAAACCCUGAUGCAGCGACGCCGCGUGGAGGAAGAAGGUCUUCGGAUUGUAAACUCCUGUUGUUGAGGAAGAUAAUGACGGUACUCAACAAGGAAGUGACGGCUAACUACGUGCCAGCCGCCGCGGUAAUAC
This 501-nucleotide ribosomal RNA is filed under the name uncultured bacterium. RNAcentral describes it as "bacterial SSU rRNA". It matches the Rfam family "Bacterial small subunit ribosomal RNA", at positions 9 to 526 of the family's 1533-position model. The record is from RNAcentral.